This 417-nucleotide ribosomal RNA is filed under the name uncultured Alphaproteobacteria bacterium. RNAcentral's name for it is "SSU rRNA". It matches the Rfam family "Bacterial small subunit ribosomal RNA", at positions 242 to 676 of the family's 1533-position model. The record is from RNAcentral. Lineage: Bacteria; Pseudomonadati; Pseudomonadota; Alphaproteobacteria.
CAGCUAGUUGGUGGGGUAACGGCCCACCAAGGCGACGAUCAGUAGCUGGUCUGAGAGGAUGAUCAGCCUCACUGGGACUGAGACACGGCCCAGACUCCUACGGGAGGCAGCAGUGGGGAAUAUUGGACAAUGGGCGCAAGCCUGAUCCAGCCAUGCCGCGUGGGUGAUGAAGGCCCUAGGGUUGUAAAGCCCUUUCGGCGGGGAAGAUAAUGACGGUACCCGCAGAAGAAGCCCCGGCUAACUUCGUGCCAGCAGCCGCGGUAAUACGAAGGGGGCUAGCGUUGCUCGGAAUCACUGGGCGUAAAGCGCACGUAUGCGGCUUCUUAAGUCAGGGGUGAAAUCCUGGAGCUCAACUCCAGAACUGCCUUUGAUACUGAGGAGCUUGAGUCCGGGAGAGGUGACUGGAACUGCUAGUGU